AAGAGCUAUUUAUUAACCAGAGAGGGCUAUUUAUGUGUCUUGAGCUAGGAGUAAGUGCCUGGAUUUAAGGGGAGGAAAAAUCAAAUCUUCCAAGGUUAAAAUUAGCUGUUAGAUUGCAAGGACAAAACCACCUGAGGUUUCAGCCCUGCUGCUUUUAAUGGGCAAAUGAGAUAUUUCAUGUGCAAUUGCCUAAGUGACUAUUGAAACAGAUGCCAUGUUCCAACAGCACCUUCGGCAGAAAAAGUGACAUCUCAGCAGGGAAAGUAAAGCAGUAUGGCUGGUGAAAUUGCAGAAGAGAACAAUGGAUUCCUUCCAUGAUGCAAUGGAACACUUACAAUGAAACUACAACCCAUUGAAUUUGAUUGCUUUGGCCACUCUCACUCUUUGUUGCUGGCUCCUUGCCUAGCUUCUGGAAUACACAGCCCUGCUUGUAUAUGUGCCAAGUUCACUGUCACAGACCAGUGGAACUCACCAGUAUCGUCCACACAAUGUGAAAGUCUGUAUCCUCUGCUAGGUAAGUGGUGCCUGAAGAGGGCCUAAUAUGGAAAGAGAGGACCACAAAAUCAAAGUGAGAGUUAAAGGAGCUCGGUUUUAUCAAAUGGGUAUUAAAAGCCAACAAACAUGGUAAAUACCUUAUUUCUCCCCCUGCUCCUCCCCCCAAAAAAACCUAAAAGGAAAAGAUUUCACAUGAAGAAAAAGAGACCAACAAAAAUCUAAUGCUUCCCAAAAUUAUUGUUAUAGGAAGUUUAUAUUGAGAUGUGUCAGGACUCCCCCCACUUACCAUGCCUCGCUCCGGAUUUUUAAAAAAACAGCCAGUGGACACCCAAUGUGUGAGUGUCAGCUGCUCUCAGCCUGUUGACACCUGCUUCAGGCACUAUUGGUUCAAGCUGUCCACAGAUAUGUAAACUGACCCGGUUUUCUUAAUAGAGUUGAUUCUGACACCUAGAGUCAUCACUGCUAUUUCAUUAAUGAUCAUAUUUACAGAAUCAUCCAGCUAGUCUGUUUAUCCAUCACUUUGUGAAGAAAUGAGUAGUGGGGCAUGAGCAGCUGGGUACCUGCAAGGACUGAUGGAGAUAAAGGAGGAGUUCAAAAUUUAAAGGAACCUCUGCCCCUCACCUCUAGGGGGGAAGAAUGGUCACAACCUCCUGACAUCUGUUUGUGACACUCCCAGAUGUCAUGACCCUCCAGGCUGAAGACCCCUGUUCUAGAGGGGAAGCAAGUUUUAUUUAGAGAUGAAAUGUUGCUUUAUAUGAUGGUCAGUUUUGAAUGUGUGAAAGGGACAAUCACAAUAGCUUAUUUUCUAGAAUACAUACAGUUGCAUGAGAAAAAGUAGGUUUCUCCAGGAAUAAUCGUCACUGUUAUUACUAUUGCUACUGCAGUGGAGCUGGGAAUCAGGGACCUACUAUUUAA
Molecule: long non-coding RNA, 1410 nt
Filed under: Chrysemys picta bellii (western painted turtle)
Lineage: Eukaryota; Metazoa; Chordata; Testudines; Emydidae
Description: lncRNA (ENSCPBG00000008733.1)
Source: RNAcentral